AUAUACUGGUACAAAAUCAUAAAUGUACAGUAUCCUGCCAGGGGACUUCAGAUCUAUAGUGACUCAUUACAUUAGCCUCAUGUCGAGUGUACCACUCGGAUAUCCUUUUCCUGGGCGUGAGCAGCCAAAGUUUAAGAUUCUAUGGAAGACCGAAGAACUGAUAGGAGUAUCACACUAGGAGUACCUUGAAAAUAAACCUGAUUAAAGGGAAAAUAACUUGAAAAUCACAAUUCCAUCUGAAAAUUGUGUAUAGCUACUGUUGUCACAGUGUUUCACUAUCCUUUAUAAAUGUGGACAUCACAACUGGAUGCAGCAUUCCAGGAUCAGUCUCACCAC
Molecule: long non-coding RNA, 336 nt
Organism: Mauremys reevesii (Reeves's turtle)
Lineage: Eukaryota; Metazoa; Chordata; Testudines; Geoemydidae
Exons: 3
Source: RefSeq, a predicted model, not a curated record